AGCAUGUGGUUCAAUUCGACGCAACGCGAAGAACCUUACCCAGGCUUGAACUGCAGGUGACAUCCUACGAAAGUAGGCUUCCGCAAGGACACCUGUAGAGGUGCUGCAUGGCUGUCGUCAGCUCGUGUCGUGAGAUGUUGGGUUAAGUCCCGCAACGAGCGCAACCCUUGUCUUCUGUUGCCAUCGGGUUAUGCCGGGCACUCUGAGGAGACUGCCGGUGACAAACCGGAGGAAGGUGGGGAUGACGUCAAGUCAGCAUGGCCUUUAUGUCUGGGGCCACACACGUGCUACAAUGGCCGGUACAAACCGUCGCGAUCUCGCGAGAGGGAGCUAAUCGGAGAAAGCCGGUCUCAGUUCGGAUUGUAGGCUGCAACUCGCCUGCAUGAAGUUGGAAUCGCUAGUAAUCGCGGAUCAGCACGCCGCGGUGAAUACGUUCCCGGGCCUUGUACACACCGCCCGUCACAUCACGAAAGCCGGCUGUACUAGAAGUCGCUGCGCUAACCCGCAAGGGGGGCAAGCGCCUAAGGUAUGGUCGGUGAUUGGGGUG
RNAcentral lists this ribosomal RNA (547 nucleotides) under uncultured soil bacterium. RNAcentral describes it as "bacterial SSU rRNA". It matches the Rfam family "Bacterial small subunit ribosomal RNA", at positions 936 to 1482 of the family's 1533-position model. The record is from RNAcentral.